Molecule: ribosomal RNA, 469 nt
Filed under: uncultured bacterium
Lineage: Bacteria
Description: bacterial SSU rRNA
Rfam family: Bacterial small subunit ribosomal RNA
Source: RNAcentral
CGAGGACGACGCUGGCGGCGUGCCUAACACAUGCAAGUCGAACGGAGUUUGCCCCUUCGGGGGUAAACUUAGUGGCGGACGGGUGAGUAACGCGUGAGCAACCUGCCUAGAAGAGGGGGAUAACGGCUGGAAACGGUCGCUAAUACCGCAUGACAUUCCACUACCGCAUGGUGGAGGAAUCAAAGGAGCAAUCCGCUUUUAGAUGGGCUCGCGUCCGAUUAGCUAGUUGGUGGGGUAACGGCCUACCAAGGCGACGAUCGGUAGCCGAACUGAGAGGUUGAUCGGCCACAUUGGGACUGAGACACGGCCCAGACUCCUACGGGAGGCAGCAGUGGGGGAUAUUGCACAAUGGGGGAAACCCUGAUGCAGCAACGCCGCGUGAGGGAAGACGGUUUUCGGAUUGUAAACCUCUGUCCUUGGUGACGAUAAUGACGGUAGCCAAGAAGGAAGCCACGGCUAACUACGUGCC